AAAAAGGCUUUGUUUUGUCUGGCUGUUCUGUGUGCUUGCAGGAGACAGAUCAAGAAAGCAAGCUAUCCAACUCCAUUAGGUUGCUGACACUCCCUUAUUACAAGAGCUGUCCCUUUUUUUUCAUCUCUAUACAACAAGAUCAGAAGUUGCUGAGUGUUGCAAAAAAGCAUCAAGAAAUACCCCUGGUGAAUGUAGGAAUGUAUCUGCUGGACAAUCAGAGGAGCUACCCAUUCCAAUGGACUCCAUAUCAGAAUUCAACAUAUAUAUUUUAUACUAAUAACAUUCUAUCAAAGUAUUAAUUAAAUGUUAACUUGCUAACUUGAGACCAUGGGCGGAGACAUUAUGUUACCUGUUAACC
Molecule: long non-coding RNA, 358 nt
Organism: Trachemys scripta elegans
Lineage: Eukaryota; Metazoa; Chordata; Testudines; Emydidae
Exons: 3
Source: RefSeq, a predicted model, not a curated record